RNAcentral lists this ribosomal RNA (243 nucleotides) under uncultured bacterium. RNAcentral describes it as "partial 16S ribosomal RNA". It matches the Rfam family "Bacterial small subunit ribosomal RNA", at positions 524 to 767 of the family's 1533-position model. The record is from RNAcentral.
UACGUAGGUGGCAAGCGUUGUCCGGAUUUACUGGGCGUAAAGAGCGCGCAGGCGGUCGUUCAAGUCGCGUGUGAAAGCCCCCGGCUCAACUGGGGAGGGUCACGCGAUACUGAUCGACUCGAAGGCAGGAGAGGGAAGUGGAAUUCCCGGUGUAGUGGUGAAAUGCGUAGAUAUCGGGAGGAACACCUGUGGCGAAGGCGGCUUUCUGGGCCUUACCUGACGCUGAGACGCGAAACGUGGGGA